RNAcentral lists this ribosomal RNA (301 nucleotides) under uncultured bacterium. RNAcentral's name for it is "partial 16S ribosomal RNA". It matches the Rfam family "Bacterial small subunit ribosomal RNA", at positions 509 to 807 of the family's 1533-position model. The record is from RNAcentral.
CAGUAGCCGCGGUAAUACGAAGGGGGCUAGCGUUGAUCGGAUUUACUGGGCGUAAAGCGCACGUAGGCGGACUUUUAAGUCAGGGGUGAAAUCCCGGGGCUCAACCCCGGAACUGCCUUUGAUACUGGGUAUCUCGAGUCCGGAAGAGGUGAGUGGAAUUCCGAGUGUAGAGGUGAAAUUCGUAGAUAUUCGGAGGAACACCAGUGGCGAAGGCGGCUCACUGGUCCGGUACUGACGCUGAGGUGCGAAAGCGUGGGGAGCAAACAGGAUUAGAUACCCCAGUAGUCCCUGUCUCUUAUAC